Molecule: ribosomal RNA, 531 nt
Filed under: Cercophora sp. f54
Lineage: Eukaryota; Fungi; Ascomycota; Sordariomycetes; Sordariales; Lasiosphaeriaceae
Description: eukaryotic LSU rRNA
Rfam family: Eukaryotic large subunit ribosomal RNA
Source: RNAcentral
GCGGAGGAAAAGAAACCAACAGGGAUUGCCCUAGUAACGGCGAGUGAAGCGGCAACAGCUCAAAUUUGAAAUCUGGCUUCGGCCCGAGUUGUAAUUUGUAGAGGAAGCUUUUGGCGAGGCACCGACUGAGUCCCCUGGAACGGGGCGCCAUAGAGGGUGAGAGCCCCGUAUAGUCGGACGCCGAGCCUCUGUAAAGCUCCUUCGACGAGUCGAGUAGUUUGGGAAUGCUGCUCUAAAUGGGAGGUAAAUUUCUUCUAAAGCUAAAUAUUGGCCAGAGACCGAUAGCGCACAAGUAGAGUGAUCGAAAGAUGAAAAGCACUUUGAAAAGAGGGUUAAAUAGCACGUGAAAUUGUUGAAAGGGAAGCGCUUGUGACCAGACUUGCGCCUGGCCGAUCAUCCGGGGUUCUCCCCGGUGCACUCGGCCAGGCUCAGGCCAGCAUCGGUUCUCUCGGGGGGACAAAGGUCCCGGGAACGUAGCUCCCUCCGGGGAGUGUUAUAGCCCGGGGCGUAAUGCCCUCGAGGGGACCGAGG